CUUGAAAAACAAACAGAAAGAGAGAGAGAAAGAGAGAAAGAAGAAGAAAGAAAUGAACAAGAGAGUGAAAACCUAUCAUCUCCCUCUCUCUCUCCUUCUUCUUCUUCUCU
Molecule: non-coding RNA, 110 nt
Filed under: uncultured Mallomonas
Lineage: Eukaryota; Synurophyceae; Synurales; Mallomonadaceae
Source: RNAcentral